Small nucleolar RNA from Argentina anserina (silverweed cinquefoil), 85 nucleotides. RefSeq annotates it as small nucleolar RNA R16. Lineage: Eukaryota; Viridiplantae; Streptophyta; Magnoliopsida; Rosales; Rosaceae. The transcript has a single exon. The record is from RefSeq and is a predicted model, not a curated record.
GCAAGCUUAUGAUGCAAAAUCUAUCACUUAUACUACAAACCGAAUUAAAUGUGGACAAUAUCUCCGCUUAUUAUCUGAAGCUAGC